UACGAAGGGGGCUAGCGUUGCUCGGAAUCACUGGGCGUAAAGGGUGCGUAGGCGGGUCUUUAAGUCAGGGGGGAAAUCCUGGAGCUCAACUCCAGAACUGCCUUUGAUACUGAAGAUCUUGAGUUCGGGAGAGGUGAGUGGAACUGCGAGUGUAGAGGUGAAAUUCGUAGAUAUUCGCAAGAACACCCGUGGCGAAGGCGGCUCUCUGGGACGGUACUGACGCUGAGACGCGAAAGCGUGGGGAGCGAACAGG
This 253-nucleotide ribosomal RNA is filed under the name uncultured bacterium. Its description in RNAcentral is "partial 16S ribosomal RNA". It matches the Rfam family "Bacterial small subunit ribosomal RNA", at positions 524 to 776 of the family's 1533-position model. The record is from RNAcentral.